Molecule: small RNA, 69 nt
Filed under: Sinorhizobium meliloti 2011
Lineage: Bacteria; Pseudomonadati; Pseudomonadota; Alphaproteobacteria; Hyphomicrobiales; Rhizobiaceae
Description: putative ncRNA
Source: RNAcentral
AUCGGAUACGAUUAAAGGACACAUGCAGAAGUCGCCGACGAUCCAACGGCCUGCAGAGAGCUAUGCGCC